GACGAACGCUGGCGGCGUGCUUAACACAUGCAAGUCGAACGGAAAGGCUCCAGCUUGCUGGAGUCCUCGAGUUGCGAACGGGUGAGUAACACGUGGGUAAUCUGCCCUGCACUCUGGGAUAAGCCUGGGAAACUGGGUCUAAUACUGGAUAUGACCUUUCUCCUUAUGGUGUUUGGGGGAAAGUUUUUCGGUGUAGGAUGAGCCCGCGGCCUGUCAGCUUGUUGGUGGGGUUAUGGCCUACCAAGGCGACGACGGGUAGCCGGCCUGAGAGGGUGAUCGGCCACAUUGGGACUGAGAUACGGCACGGACUAGUACGGGAGGCAGCAGUGGGGAAUAUUACACAAUAGGCGGAAGCCUGAUGCAGCGACGCCGCGUGACGGAUGACAGCCUGCGGGUUGUAAACCACUUUCAGCAGGGACGAAGCGUAAGUGACGGUACCUGCAGAAGAAGCUCCGGCUAACUAUGUG
This 467-nucleotide ribosomal RNA is filed under the name uncultured bacterium. Its description in RNAcentral is "partial 16S ribosomal RNA". It matches the Rfam family "Bacterial small subunit ribosomal RNA", at positions 28 to 507 of the family's 1533-position model. The record is from RNAcentral.